Non-coding RNA from Pelobates cultripes (western spadefoot toad), 1047 nucleotides. The record is from the annotation of a GenBank genome assembly. NCBI's taxonomy places the organism in Eukaryota, Metazoa, Chordata, Amphibia, Anura, Pelobatidae.
GAUUUAAACAGCUUGCAAUGCCACAGCAGCUUCAGUAAGCAUAUCAGCAUAUCAACAUAGGGUAAUCAAGUACAUGGCAUAUGAAAAUUCUGCACAUUUAAAGUCAUUGCUGCCGCCCAGGAAUAAUGGGAGUUUGAGCGCAGGACUAGUUUCUUUGUAUUUGUAUUCACUUUUGUAUCACACAGCUAGGUUGCAAUGCUCCUGCCCAUCCCAUGUGUUCCCUAUUAAUGGUUAAUAAGCGUGCAGGGAUGUAUAUAAAAAAUACCCCUUUCUGUCUCAUUAGAGAUAUUUUUGCCAGAAGCUCAAGGAAGCAAGGCGAAUGGUUAGCGUUAGGACCCACCUAAGAGGUCUGCCUUGACGUGGCAGGUGGGCAUACCCUCUCAUGGCCAUUGGAGGUAACUAAAAACCUCUAUUUGUUUAAAAAUACAUAGGAAUGUGAAAAGAGCGCAGGUAACUUUUUUUUCUUUGGUUUUUACUAUAUGUAUUUUGGCUGAUGUGUACUAUAGUCAUUGCUGAUGCCCAGGAGCAAUGGGAGUUUGAGCGCAGGACUAGUUUCUUUGUAUUUGAAAAAUAAGAGAAAUCACACUCUAUAAAGGGUUAGCAUGUUGGGCUGUAUUGUGCAUUGAGAGUCUCCACAUGGCAGUCAGCCUAUCCCCUCAACUGGCAUUGUAAAGUCCCAUAUAGCUUGAGUUUGCAGGCUGUGUACUGAAGAUGGCAACGUUGGGGUUGGUGGCUGCAGGUGCUUACCACUUUCCUCUCUCCUUCCCCACCUCUCUGCCUUGAUGGGCUUGGAGGGAUGCAGUUUCAGUGACCGCCGAUGUAUUGCUUUACUUCUGGUACACCAGUGUGACUUUCGUUGCCUCGAGUGCAUUGGGCCCAUGGUGGGGACUGCCUUAUUUAUCAGGAUGCGGUUUGGGUACCGUGUGGAAGGAAACUCUUCUGCUUCAUAUAGGGUCAUUUUACUUUCCAGCUUUUUCCAGAAUGCUUCAAAGAGAGCAUCUAGUCUUUGGAGAAUAGUGCUCUUCUCUCUUCCUAGCGAUGGUGUAC